AGUGAACGCUGGCGGUAGGCCUAACACAUGCAAGUCGAACGGCAGCACAGUAAGAGCUUGCUCUUACGGGUGGCGAGUGGCGGACGGGUGAGGAGUACAUCGGAAUCUACUUUUUCGUGGGGGAUAACGUAGGGAAACUUACGCUCAUACCGCAUACGACCUACGGGUGAAAGCAGGGGAUCUUCGGACCUUGCGCGAUUGAAUGAGCCGAUGUCGGAUUAGCUAGUUGGCGGGGUAAAGGCCCACCAAGGCGACGAUCCGUAGCUGGUCUGAGAGGAUGAUCAGCCACACUGGAACUGAGACACGGUCCAGACUCCUACGGGAGGCAGCAGUGGGGAAUAGUGGACAAUGGGCGCAAGCCUGAUCCAGCCAUAGCGCGUGGGUGAAGAAGGCCUUCGGGUUGUAAAGCCCUUUUGUUGGGAAAGAAAAGCAGCAGGUUAAUACCCCGCUGUUCUGACGGUACCCAAAGAAUAAGCACCGGCUAACUUCGUG
Molecule: ribosomal RNA, 492 nt
Filed under: uncultured bacterium
Lineage: Bacteria
Description: partial 16S ribosomal RNA
Rfam family: Bacterial small subunit ribosomal RNA
Source: RNAcentral